This 21-nucleotide non-coding RNA is filed under the name Caenorhabditis elegans. Lineage: Eukaryota; Metazoa; Nematoda; Chromadorea; Rhabditida; Rhabditidae. The record is from RNAcentral.
UCCACGACGAUACGAUUUUCG